Molecule: ribosomal RNA, 1053 nt
Filed under: Wongia sp.
Lineage: Eukaryota; Fungi; Ascomycota; Sordariomycetes; Papulosaceae
Description: SSU rRNA
Rfam family: Eukaryotic small subunit ribosomal RNA
Source: RNAcentral
AAGAUUAAGCCAUGCAUGUCUAAGUAUAAGCAAUUAUACGGCGAAACUGCGAAUGGCUCAUUAAAUCAGUUAUCGUUUAUUUGAUAGUACCUUACUACAAGGAUAACCGUGGUAAUUCUAGAGCUAAUACUUGCACAAAAUCCCGACUUCGGAAGGGAUGUAUUUAUUAGAUUAAAAACCAAUGCCCUCCGGGGCUCACUGGUGAUUCAUGAUAACUUUUCGAAUCGCAUGGCCUUGCGCCGGCGAUGGUUCAUUCAAAUUUCUGCCCUAUCAACUUUCGACGGCUGGGUCUUGGCCAGCCGUGGUGACAACGGGUAACGGAGAGUUAGGGCUCGACUCCGGAGAAGGAGCCUGAGAAACGGCUACUACAUCCAAGGAAGGCAGCAGGCGCGCAAAUUACCCAAUGACGACACGUCGAGGUAGUGACAAUAAAUACUGAUACAGGGCUCUUUUGGGUCUUGUAAUUGGAAUGAGUACAAUUUAAAUCCCUUAACGAGGAACAAUUGGAGGGCAAGUCUGGUGCCAGCAGCCGCGGUAAUUCCAGCUCCAAUAGCGUAUAUUAAAGUUGUUGCGGUUAAAAAGCUCGUAGUUGAACCUUGGGCCUGGCUGGCCGGUCCGCCUCACCGCGUGCACUGGUCCGGCCGGGCCUUUCCCUCUGGGGAACCGCAUGCCCUUCACUGGGUGUGUCGGGGAACCAGGACUUUUACUUUGAAAAAAUUAGAGUGUUCAAAGCAGGCCUAUGCUCGAAUACAUUAGCAUGGAAUAAUAGAAUAGGACGUGCGGUUCUAUUUUGUUGGUUUCUAGGACCGCCGUAAUGAUUAAUAGGGACAGUCGGGGGCAUCAGUAUUCAAUUGUCAGAGGUGAAAUUCUUGGAUUUAUUGAAGACUAACUACUGCGAAAGCAUUUGCCAAGGAUGUUUUCAUUAAUCAGGAACGAAAGUUAGGGGAUCGAAGACGAUCAGAUACCGUCGUAGUCUUAACCAUAAACUAUGCCAACUAGGGAUCGGACGAUGUUAUUAUUUGACUCGUUCGGCACCUUACACGAAAGUACAAG